GAUCAUGGUUCAGGAUGAACGCUGGCGGCGCGCCUAACACAUGCAAGUCGAACGGCACCCACCCUCGGGUGGAAGCGAGUGGCGAACGGCUGAGUAACACGUGGAGAACCUGCCCCCUCCCCCCGGGGAUAGCCGCCCGAAAGGACGGGUAAUACCGGAUACCCCGGGGUGCCGCAUGGCACCCCGGCUAAAGCCCCGACGGGAGGGGAUGGCUCCGCGGCCCAUCAGGUAGACGGCGGGGUGACGGCCCACCGUGCCGACAACGGGUAGCCGGGUUGAGAG
Molecule: ribosomal RNA, 282 nt
Filed under: uncultured bacterium
Lineage: Bacteria
Description: partial 16S ribosomal RNA
Rfam family: Bacterial small subunit ribosomal RNA
Source: RNAcentral